CCCAUGUCUGUUUCAUAGGAAAAAAAAAAAAGAGAGGGGAUGGGGGAGGGGAGGAGAAAGCUUACUGAGAAAGAAAAUCAGGCUCAGUUCAACAAAGGCACUACAUAACAGGGUUACGAAUUCAGAACUCUUGACAGUUUUUUGUUUUGAUUCAAACUAGAACCCACCUCCUCUUAUCCUCCACAGUAGAGGAGAGAUGGAAUAACUCAGCAAUGCAAAACUCACUUGAGAUGCGCUUUAACUGUGGUGGAGGCAGGGGGCAAGGGUUAAGGUAUGCACGGACAUCUGACACUUUUCCACAUUCUCACUUGGGAGGCCAGUGUGUGGCUAAACUGGAGGAUAAUUCGUGAUGAAAUAGGUGUUCUGCUUACCCUAUCCCAGGACACCUAAGGGAUGAGUAGAAGGUAAUGGACCCAGUUUCAGCCACCUAUAAGGUUGGGCUUCCUUCAUUUGUUGUAAUAUGUGGUUUAUAAAACAAGAGCCAAGCUCUGGGGAGAUUUCUCAGUGAAGGCACCUGUUAUGCAGGCCUGACAACUCAAACGGCCAGGAUCCAUGUGAAAGGUAGAAGGAGAUCCGAACUAACUCCAUGAGGUUGUCUUCUGACCUAUUUACAUGUACACUGGUCUGUGCACAUGUACGUGAUACCUCCCUACACACACUCACACAAUAAUAGUGUAUAAAAGGAAAAUAAGACCAGAGAGAAAUAAGUCAGGCAAUUGGGUUAUCCAAAAGGGUGGCUUACAACCAUCUGUAAUGGGAUCCAACGAUGCCCUCUUCUGGCAGGCAGGUGUAUAUGCAGCAGAGCGCUCAUAAAUGAAUUAAAUAAAAUUACAUAGAAAAUCAAAUAAAAUAAGCAAAUCAAAAAGUGGUGGAAGUUGGACAGAUCUAAGGAAGAGCAAAAGGUAACCUUUGACUUCCACCUAGGCAUACACAUAUAUACACAGUCUGCACAGACAUCCUGUUCAUUCGCUCCUUCUGCCCUUCCCAGUUCACAGACAUUGCAUUCAUCUUCGUUCGUGUGUGUCCUUUCCUGCUGUGGCUCACAUCUCCCCACUGCUCUCUGAUCCUGGUACCACUACUUCAUUGUAGCUUGUAUUGGUGCUCACCAGACCCUAGGCAGAAGGCUCCUAUCUGUACCCCAUUGCCCUCAACCCCACUUCUCCAGACUGCCCUGUAUUUUGAAAUCAGGGUUACUUUCUUCAAGCCUAGCCUCAAACCUACCAUCGCAACUCUGAAGCCUUCAGCAGCCCAUGGAAUGCCAAAGAAAGUGACAAUGUCUCACUGUGUCAUUUAGGAUUUUCCACAGUCUAGAGUAAAAAGCGGACGAUUUUUUUUCCUUCAUGUGUACAUGUGUGUGGUGUAUGUUGCAUGUGUAUAUGCAUUUUUAUGGGAACAUAUGUAUGCUUGGGGGGGCUGAAUUAAAUAUCUGGAAUCUUCCUCAAUCACUCUUCCACCUUAUUUUUGAGGCAGGGUCUUACAAGGAUUCAUUCAGUCCCUGGCCAGUUGGGUCUUGAGAUUCACUGUCUCUGUCUUCUAAAGCUGUAAUUACAGGUAGAUGGCUACCCAGCAUUUAUGUGGGCUCUGGCCACUUGCCUGUGUAUAUGCUUUAAACCCUGACCCAUCUCUCCAUCCCAUUGCAUUGUGGGGGUGGGAAGGCACAGGAUAUUCUGUAGCUCAGACUGGCCUUGAACUCACUAUACAGCUAAGAAUGACUUUAAAUUUGUAAACUACCUCCCUCUCCCUCCCAAGAGUUGGUAUGACAGGUGUGCUCCAACACAUCUUGCUUACACAGUGAUGAAGAACAAACUCGAGGCUUUGUAUGUUCAAGACACUCUACCAACUCUGCUACAUCCCAGGCCCAAAUAAGGAGAGAUGCUGAGCUCACUGGACGGCACCACACACAUCCAAGGUUCCAUACACUGAAAUCCUGCUGCUGAAAUGAAGUCCCAGAUAGGUCAUACCACUACUGCUGCUAUCCUCAUACUACUGAAUUAGACUGCUGGUGUAUCCCUGAAGUGUUUGGGAGUGGAUUGAGCUGCCUCUGCUAACCUGUGAACUGACCUGCCAAUUUCCAGACAACACAAAUGGGAGUUGCUCCGAAGAACCUUUCUAAACAGCAGGAAGGUUCAUCUAGCUUCCAGGGUUCAGCAGAUUAGAGACCUCUCAUGCAAAACUGAGCACAUUCUUCUCAGCUGGGCCAAGAUUGGUGCCCAUGCAGCAAUCAAGGUCUCCAGCCUCCUCGGAAUGUUGAGCCUCCACUCCUGGCCUUGACCGUGCAGGGAGCAGGACCCCCACUGGCUCAUGGCUCAGUGCUGCCAUCAGUAAAUGCCAGUAAUGUACUGGCAUUUACCUAUGAGAAGUUUGGGAUGAUAUCCCUCAAUUCCAAGAGAUCCUUCCUCACUAUUCUAAGGGAAGCUGCCUUUGCCUUAUGGCAGGGCAGGCCAAGGUAAGUCUGUGUCCCAUUGGAUCCCAAGGAAACUUGUACAUGGCCUGUGCUGCUUACCUGGACUCCCCAAUGCUGGACAGAACUCCCAUGAGGAGAGAAGGCUAGCACCUUGCUUGGUCCAAGUAUGGGAAGUAGAGGGACUGUCUGUCAAGGGUACCAUGCUUACCAGGAAGUAUUGCUUUAGAGACACUUGUAGGUCCUUCUCUGAUAGAUGCUUGAACUGAGAAAAACCCCACAGACUGGCCCCAUAUUACUUUCCUUUCUGUCUAUCAAUAUGAUAAAACAUUGACAAAAACUUUGGGGGGAAAGGGUUUUUUUUUUUUUUGCAUUUCAAGUUCCAGUUCCCAUCCUUUACAGAGCAAAGUCAGAGCAGGGGCAGAGGCAAGAACAGUCAAAGGCCAGCUUCGACAUCCAGGGUAAACUGAGGCAAGGCGUAGAGUUGGCGAUUGAUCACUCAGCAGGUUUCUCUCUGAGGAAACAAAGCUUGAUUCUCUGAGGCUGGUGAGAAACUCUCUGGGGCUGUGCUCUCUGGGGGCUGGUGGAAAGGGUGAGGGAACAUGUACACACACACACACACACACACACACACAUGCACACACACACACAUACACACACACACACACACAUACACACACACACACACACACACAUACACAUACACACACACAUACACACACACACACACACACACACACACACACACACACACACACACACACAGCAUAUUUGGUGAAUGAAACAAAGCUCCAAGCAACUUUAUUUUUUCCUCUUAGCCUUUUCAUACCACCUAAGACAAAAAUUGUCUAUGGAAGAAAAAAGAUUAGCUCAUAGCCACAAGUGACAUAUUCUAUAGAAACAAUCACCAUAAGAACAUAUUCUUUAAGAGCAGACUAAAAUCAUUACACAAAAGGAAAUCACAAUAGGAUUAUUGCUUAUGUAUUCUUCUUUGAAACUUAUACUUACCUAAACAUCUUCCAUCUAUCUUUCUCUCAUUGUAAACCAAAACAAUAAUUCUUUUGUCAUUAACAAAGUUUAAGCAAGUCAGCCUAUAGUAGCAAGUUUUUGCCUCUGUGUAGCUGAUGACAAUUUGUAUUUAUGAAGAAACAGAUCAUCAUCUAUCUUACAUCUUAUUUUUGAAGCCUUGUUCAGCUAAACUGGCUAAUGUUCUAUUCUCUGUUCUUCACUCAGAAUUAUUUACUCUUUACUCAUAACCCCAUCUUUCCAUGGUGCACACUGAUCCCUGUGGUCACAGCCACAGACCACAAGAUCCAGGAACUCUGUGGUCACAUCCACAGACCACAAGAUCCAGGAACUCAAACCCAACCUAGAAUGAAUCUUUCUUUGAUUAUUAACUUGUUCCAAGCCUAUUUUUUCUUCCAACUACAAAUACAUGUUCGUAACGCAUGAAAGCUUACUGGACUCCUUUUCUAACCUAUACAGCUGUAACUUUAAAGUUUUAAAAGCCUACGUCAAAAAAAAUGCUGAAGCAGAUACAGGAGAGAGGAUGUUCUGCUAAAGUAAGCGCGUGAAGGGACACGUGAUGAAGGAUUCCUUGCUAACAACACGCAUGUAUUGGUCCACUUUACAUUGUGUAGCUGAGCCGCUGAUGUAGCAAUGAUGUAAUGAUGUCAGCUGAGACAGACUCACACGGAGUUUUGCUAAGUCAGACUCAUGGGCUGAGGUAAGCGGUGGAGGACACAUGAUGUUUGGAGGGAGUAUAAGUAGAACCCAAUGGACAGUGAUGGAGGCUGAGCUUGGCUUGAUGAUAGAGCUAGUUGUACAACGCUCGUUCUUGCAUCUUCACAUCUUCACUAAUCUUGGCUUCUCUGAGAGAGGCACAGCCAAGAACUUCUGGUGUUCCCAUUGGCUCAGGUCCCUCCUGCUGACUCCUGCUGACUCCGCUGAGGCCUGGCUGUUUCUGCUAGGUCUUGCCACCACUGCUGCUAUCCUGACAUUACUGAACUGGACUGCUGGUAUAUCCCCGAAGUGUAUAUGAGUGGAUGGAGCUGCCACUGCUAACCUGUGAACAUAACUGCCAAUUUCCAGACAACACAAUCCUUUCCUUUCCACUACCUCUGUUAGGUGGUGGGCUAAAAGGGGGAUUAAAGCAUUUAAGAACCAUUAUUAAAAGUAGACUUUGGGGGCUGGUGAGAUGGCUCAGUGGGUAAGAGCACCCGACUGCUCUUCCAAAAGUCAGGAGUUCAAAUCCCAGCAACCACAUGGUGGCUCACAACCAUCCGUAACAAGAUCUGACUCCCUCUUGAGUGUCUGAAGACAGCUAUAGUGUACUUACAUAUAAUCAAUAAAUAAAUCUUUAAAAAAAAAAAGAAAAAAAAAAAGUAGACUUUGGAAAAAUUGAAGUUAUACUAUCACACCAGACUAUAGGCAGUGAGGGUCUCUCCUCACCUAAUCACACCAUGUUAGAUACAUUAAGAAAGUAGCAAUGCCCACAUGAGAAGGCACAGCAGUAGCAAGAGGCAACCCAGAGACAAGCCCCCCACCCCCUCUCUACCCAGGCAGGGUCUCUCCGGGUAUAUCCAUUGCAGCUUUGCAAAAUGGGGGCCUAUCUCCAGAAAGCUUCCUUGCCUACUCUUGUUCCUCCUGCAUGGUGUCCGACAAGGAACCGUGGAAGAAAGUUGCUUCCUGGCUUGCUCUCCAUAGUGUACUCAGCCUGCUUUCUUACACAAUCGAGGACCACAUGCCAUGUACAGUGGACUGGGCAGGCACUCCCACUUCAACUGGUAGUCAAGAAAAUGCGCCACGGAUUUGCUUGCAGGCAGAAAUAAGGGAAUCCCUCUAUGAAGGUUCCCUCUUCGAAGAUGAUUCUAGGUCUGUCAAGUAAACAACAGAAUACAAACAAAUACACGAAAACCAAACCCUCACGAGCCUCUAAGCAGGAGUGGACUACAUUGGAGCACAAGGAAGAGGGGAUGGAGAGAACAUUGUAAGGUCCCUCUUCAGGUCUUUACACAUUGGGCCUUGCGUUUUCCUUUCCAGCUGUGUCCCUUCAUUCAUUUGCACCCUUUCCUUGUUCUGCUCUCAGCCUUCCUGUACACCAGUGGUUCUCAACCUGUGGGUCGCAAUCCCCACAGGGAUAUCAGAUAUCCUGCAUAUCAGAUAUCUACACUACGAUCAAUAACAGCAUAACUACAGUUACAAAGCAGGAACAAAACUAAUUUUAUGGUUGGGGGUUACCACAACAUGAGGAACUGUAUUAAAGGGUUGUGGCAUUAGGAAAGUUGAGAAUCACUGGCUUUUACUAUAACCGUACAUCAUGCUCUCCCUUCUCUAUCUUCUUCACUCCCUUCCUCUCCAGGUACCUUUGUCCUCUCCUGCCUCUGCCUUCCUUGCAGAGCUGAUGGUUCUCAGCAGUGAGGUUCAGGCUGGAUGAUGACAUUCUCUUGUCAAGUGGAUCCAGCCAGCCCAUCUAUACACUGGGUCCAUGCAGCAUGUGCACACAGCAGGAACUGUGAUGUAAACGUAAGUCAGAUUCCUCCCACAGUGACUUCCAGUCUAGUUGGGAAGGGAAAGCACAGCCAUGAAAAGGAAAUGAGCAGUUGACUGCGGUGGUGCACGCUUGCAAUCCUAUCCUAUGGGAGGUAGAACAGUUUUCUACCAAAGACUAUAUCAAUAGAUGAUACAAAAUGGAAGCCAGGGCCUUGCAAAUGCUAGGCAAGUCCUCGACCACUGAACUAUAUCCCCAGGAUGCUAAACCAGAAUUUUGAACUCUGCAGGAUCCCCUCAGAAAAAGAACAGGGGGAAAAUAUGUUUCCAUAUUCUUCUAGCCAUUUUUGAAGAACUAUAAAUAUCUUAAUACCAAUUCCAAAGGUUAUUGAAAUGCCAUUCAUGAUGUAUUAGAUGCUCAUGCAGAGAUGGCUGUUUGACACUUACCAUGUCAGGAAUUUUACACGCCUUGGCUUCUUUUUAAAAUUUGUAUCUGUAUGAGUGCUUUGACUGCAUGUAUGUCUGCACACCAUGUGUAUGCAGUAUGUAGAGAAGGCAGAAAAGGGAAUUAGAUCCUCUGGAACUGGGUUACAGACAUUUUUGAGCAGCCUAGUAUUGGCACUGGGCACCAAACCCAGAUCCUGUGUAAGAGCAGCCUGUACCUGUGCCCUCAACUGCUGAGCCACCUCUCCAGCUGUCUCCUGGUUUUCAGCUGUAAAAAUGACAUUGCUCGUUCUUGACUAUUUUAAUUUCUGUGGAUGUGUGUGUGGGUGCCCACAGAGGAGUCGGAUCCUCUGGAGCAGGAGUUUCACACAGGCAGUUGUCAACCUCCAGGUUUGUGCUUAGAACUGAACUUGGCUCCUCUGAGAGAAGCACUCCUUGUGGUUUAGCAAUCUCUCCAGCUCUAAAUGCUUGAGCUUAUACAGUUUUGUUUUGUUUGUUUAUUUGUUUUGGUUGGUCUUUUGUUUGUUUAUUCCAGAUUUUAUUUCAGAUAAUUUCCCAUGAAUUGUGCUCUUCAUUCCAGAGGUUUAAAAAAAAUGCCUUUACCAAAAGUGUGCCUUUUUAUAUGUGCAUGAGUGCUUCGUGUAUGUCUGUGGGCUACUUGAACGCCCCGUGCUUCUGUAGGCCAGAAGAGGAUGUCAGAUCCUCCUAGAACUGGAGUAAGAGGUUGUAAGCUGUUAUGUGGGUGCUGGGAAUUGAACCUGGGUUGUCUACAAGAGCAGCCAGUGCUGUUAACCACUGUGCAACCCCUCCAGCCCCUACCUUAGGUUUUGGUAAUUUACCAACAACUUGACUAUCAGAUAUCAAUAAUAAAAGGCCCUGCUAUUUUUUUUUGGUAUUAACCUUAAAUCAUAGUAAUUGUUUAUAUUUGAUGUCUUUAUGAUGAUCACACAGCCACAUUACCUUCAAAUAAUGAAACUUCAACCUCUAAGUUCAUACCUGUUCAUGUACUCUGUCGACCAGGCAGGUUGAGACUUACAAAAAGCUAUUGUGUAGAUGAGCAGGUAAUAUCACUGAGUUCGGCUGUUCAUGUGGAAGGAGCUUUUGGGAAUCAGUUUUUCUUUGUUUUAAGGCAUGGUCUCCUGGCAGUAACCCUGCAGCAGGAGGAGUUGCAGUCAGUAUGGGAGCAUGAAGAAAACAGCUCACCUGUCAGCAGAGCCACUGUGGGUAUACCUUUGAUAGGCAGAGCCCUGAUGGUUGGGUCCUGAAGACUCCUCAUUAUUGCUAACCUUUACUGCACUAGUUGCUGCCUUGGUCACUCUGGUCUUUUCUUUUUCUUUUCUUUCUUUCUUUCUUUCUUUCUUUCUUUCUUUCUUUCUUUCUUUUCUUUUUUUUUUUUUGCUUUUGCCUUGUAUGAAUAUUCUUGGGGGCGGUUUCUAAUUCCCCACUGGGCAAUGCAAUCACAAAGCAUAACAACAGUGAUGAUUUCCCAAAAAAGCAUUACCAGUCAGAGAGUUUAAUAAUUUAGCAUAAGAUUUCUGAGAAAAGGGCUGGUGAGAUGGCUCAGUGGGUAAGAGCACCCGACUGCUCUUCCAAAGGUCCAGAGUUCAAAUCCCAGCAAUCACAUGGUGGCUCACAACCAUCUGUAAUGAGAUCUGAUGCCCUCUUCUGGUGUGUCUGAAGACAGCUACAGUGUACUUACAUAUAAUAAAUAAAUAAAUCUUAAAAAAAAGAUUUCUGAGAAAAAAAAUUAAAAUAUGUAUGGUUAAAAAGAUUAAGGCAAGGUGCUUUUUAUGUACAAUUAAUUAAAUCAGGUAAGAGUGUUUUGUCAGCUGCUUUGUAGCAGGGAACAUAAAACAUUCUUAGUUAUUGAAUGAAAGGCGUGCUAAGGUUAGGAAGCAAAAACAAGGCAAGUCCAGUUGCUAAGGGCUCAUGAGUUUCACUUACAAGGGACAGGCUAAUGAUCAAAGAAGUAAUUGAGUUUCAGUGCCCACUAUUUAGAUUGAGUUUCUGUGUCCAUUUGUAAAAUUUGGUUGUUCUAGUUUUAUAAGUAUAAGUUUGCUGAUGAGUUCUGGUGUGCAUCUUGAGGACUUAGUGCUGUGCAGCAUAUAGACUGGAUAGAUUCUUCUUUUCCUGUCCUAAAGUUCUCUAGACAACUAUCCAUUUGCUUUGCAAACAAUUUAUAUGAAAACGAUAUAAGAACAGGUAGAAGGUUAACUGUGUCAGAUGAAUAAGAAUUGUGUUAAGUUAGAAUAACAUGACGUUGGGCUGGAGAGAUGGCUCAGUCGUUAAAAGCUAGGCUCAACAACCAAAAAUAUAAGAAUAACAUAACAUCUACUUCCUUGCUUGGAACUGCAAACUGCUACCUGUCAGUACAAGAUAAACUGGCUGUUAAAAAGAUUUGGCUUGCUCAAAUUCUGUUAAUUUAUAAUAGAAAAACUAUUACUUUAGGACCUAGAUGUGUUAUGGGGGAAAAAUCACAUGAGAGGCUGAGUGAUCAGAUGUAGGAUUUAGAAUAACUUGUUUUUUAAAAAUAUAAAACCUGGGGGCUGGAGAGAUGGCUCUGUGGUUAAGAGGUCCUGAACUCAAUUCCCAGCAAUUACAUGAUGGCUCACAAUUAUCUGUAAUGGGAUUUGAUGCCCUCUUCUGGCAUACAAGUGUACAUGUGUGAAGUCUGAUUGUGAUUUCUGCUGUUAAACAUGUUGUUAUGCAGAGGGGACUGGGGUCUCAGCCAGAUCAAGUGCCCUACAUUCUCAUCUGGGAAAAUUUAGCGCAGGACCCCCCCAUCCUGGUUGAAGCCUUGGGUUCAGAGGAACAAGCCGGGCUCCCGAGUCUUGGCUCUCUGCCACUCAGAGAAAAAAAAAAAAAAAAAAAGAUAAAAACGGCGGGGGCUGAACUGCAGCCCUUGGCUCCUCCCAGGAUCUAUCCAGAGAUAGAAGAACCUCCAGAAUGGCGUAACACCCCACCCCCAUAUCCCCAACUAGUCCCCUCCCAGAUCUCUUAACAGGGUGCCGCUGGAGAUGGGGAGGGACCAGCUGCUAGAACCUGAGGCUGGCGAGCUCGGAGCCCAGAGGGACCAGACUCAACCAUCGUGCUGCCUUUACGUACUUAUGACCCUCCUCCAGCAGACCCUGGACAACUGCAGCCCCUUCAGUACUGGCCUUUUUCCUCCUCUGAUCUUUAUAAUUGGAAGGCAAACCAUUCCCCCUUCUCUGAAAACCCCUCUAGCCUUACUAAUCUAAUGGAAUCUCUCAUGUUCUCUCAUCAGCCUACUUGGGAUGAUUGUCAGCAGCUUUUACAGGUUCUUUUCACCACAGAGGAGAAGGAAAGGAUUCUGCUAGAGGCAAGAAAGAGCGUGCUGGGGGCCAAUAGACAGCCGACACAACUUCUGAAUGAAAUAGAUGCAGGCUUCCCUAUGACACGUCCUGACUGGGACCCUAACAGGCCUGAAGGUAGGGAGCGGUUGACAGUUCUCCGCUGGGCUCUGGUAGCUGGACUGAGAGGAGCUGGCAGGCGCCCCACCAAUUUGGCCAAGGUAAGAGAGAUCCUACAAGAGGAAAAGGAGCCCCAAGCAGUGUUUUUAGAGCGCCUCUUAGAAGCAUACAGGUGUUACACUAACUUUGACCCUACGUCAGAGGGCCAGUAGGCGGCAGUGGCCAUGGCUUUCAUCGGGCAAUCUGCUUCUGACAUUAGCAGAAGGUUACAGCAUCUAGAGAGUCUGCAAACAUUAUCUUUAUAAGAUCUGGUUAAGGAGGCAGAGAAAGUGUACUAUAAGAGAGAGACUGAAGAAGAAAAAAGAGAAAGAGAAAAGAGAGAGGCUGAGGAAAGAGAAAGUAGAUGAGAUAGAAGGCUGGAAAGAAAUUUAACUAGGGUUUUGGCUACAAUUGCAGGUGAUAAGGAAGUUUAUAGAAAAGGUGGAAGAAGUAGGCAGACAGGGUACCUGGGCACCACAGGGGCGUGAAGACCUCAAAACUCCAGAGGACCUUCACGACCACCUCUAGGUAAGGACCAAUGUGCAUACUGUAAAGAAAAGGGACACUGGGCAAGAGACUGCCCCAAGAAAGAGACAGAUACCAGACCGCCCAAGGUCCUUACCCUAGAGGAUGAGGACUAGUGGAGCCGGGGCUCAGACCCCCUCCCCGAGCCUAGGGUAACCCUAACUGUGGAGGGGACCCCCACGGAUUUCCUUGUUGAUACCAGAGCAGAGUUUUCAGUCCUGAAAGAGCCACUGGGGAAAUUGAGGAACAAAAAAAUAAAACUGUAGUAAUUGGGGCUACUGGUCAGAAACCAUACUCUUAGACCACUGAUAAGAAAGUUGAUUCAAGAAGCCAAGUAACUCAUUCCUUCCUCGUCAUUCCUGAAUGCCCCACCCCACUGUUAGGGAGAGACUUACUAUCAAAAGUAAAAGCCCAAAUAAGCUUCUCUUUGGAAGGAACUCCAAUCUCUUGGCAAGCCCCUAUCUCUAUAAUUUUAGCUUUAAAAUUAGAAGAAGAAUAUAGAUUACAUGAGCCUCAAGCCCCAUCAAGAAAAGUACUAGAAGGGACCUGGUUAGAGAGAUAUCCUCAAGCCUGGGCAGAGACUGGGGGUAUGAGAGAGACAAAGAUGGUGCCCCCCAUCGUUGUGACGCUGAAAACUGGUGCAACUCCUAUUGAUCCUUUUGAUCCCUCGAAAGGUAAGGUCUAGGUCCUUGCUCAACAUAGAAGCCUCAGAAGUUUCCAGCCCUUUGCAACCCUUAAGGGAUCAACAUUUCAGAGUAGGAACAUGAGGCAGGAUAGAAAGGGACAAUUAUAGGGACAUAGGAAAGAAACCCCUCCCCCUGGAGUCUGACUGAAGCCUCUCUCCAGUUGAGAAGAACUGCAGCACAAUUAAUAACUUGCUGUAAAAGUUGUCAACAUUAAUAAUAAUAUUCCUGGGCUGGUGAGAUGGCUCAGCGGGUAAGAGCACUAACUGCUCUUCUGGAGGUCAUGAGCUCAAAUCCCAGCAACCACAUGGUGGCUCACAACCAUCUGUAAUGAGAAACAAAUAAUAAUAAUAAAAAGAAAAUUCCUUUAUAUCUAGAUAUGUUAAGAUAGCAAUGAACCAGGUUUAAGGCCUAAAUGUGUAGGGCCUUGAGUAGGGACUGAACAUUUUCUAGAAAUCUCAAAUAAGACAAUUAACAUUCAGAGUGAAAAUCGCCUACCUAGACUUUUACCUUACCACUGUAAUCUGGAUGACAAUCCCCCCAGAUAUGUUAUCAUUUAUGUUUCUUGCAACCUUUAAAGAUAGCAACUUCAAACCCUACUGUACCCUAGCUUUAUGCUGACUUGACUCAGGCUGGAGUCAUUAGAGAGCCUCAAUUGAGAAAAAUGUCUCUGCAAGACUGAACUGUAGGCAAGCCCGUAGGGCAUUUUAUUAGUGAUUUAUGGGGAGGAGACAGCCUAUCAUGGAUGGUGCCACCAUGGGCUGGUAGUCUUGGGUUCAAUAAGGGAAUGGGCUGAGCAGGCCAUGGAGAGUAACCCAGGAAGUAGCACUCCUCCAAUGGACUUGGUAUCAGCCCCUGCCUCCUGCCCUCACUGCUUUUGAUGAACUGUUAUAUGGAACUGUGAGUGGAAUAAAACCUUUCCUCUUCAAGUAACCUUUGGUCAGGGUGUCUCAUAAAACCAACAGUAACCCUAAGACACCUACCAAAAUCUUAUAUAUGACUAUUGUAACAGAAAAAAGAAGACUCUUUGAGAAGUCUACACCCACACUCUCAGAUGUGUCUUCGUUUCUUCAGAGUGCCUCUAUUUUUCUCUUAACCCUCAUGUUUAUGCCUAUAUCAAAUUAUCUUUAUUAAACCCUUACUUUACUUCAUAAAAAUAAAAAUGACUUUAGAUUUUUUAAAAUUUUUUAUUAUGCAUUUCAUAACAUGCGCAUAGUAUAUAAUAUGCUGCAUAGCCUUCUAACAGGAACAGAUGACCAUAGCUGAGUAAUUUCUUUUAAUCAGCCAGGAAAAUGCUUCCUUAGUCAAUGUUUUCCAGGCCCUGUAAAACAGUAUGAAAAGGAGAAUGUGAGGAUUCUGUUCCCAUCAAAAUGUAGCAUGCUGUUUAAUUUCCAGUGUCACAGAAUGGCAUUCUGUUAUUAAAACAAGCGAUUUCACAUCCCACAAUUCUCUAACUGCAACAACAGAAACUAAAUUGACUUCAUAAUCAUUAAAGAAUGGCCACUAAAUGACGUCGCCCCCGACCCCAGACAGGUUCUUACUCCAUAGGCCUGGUUGGCCUCAAACUCAGAGAUUUACUUGCCUCUGCCCCUAGAAUGUUAGGAUUAAAGGUGUGUGACACUACA
Long non-coding RNA from Mus musculus (house mouse), 12637 nucleotides. RefSeq annotates it as predicted gene, 39503. Lineage: Eukaryota; Metazoa; Chordata; Mammalia; Rodentia; Muridae. The transcript is spliced from 5 exons. The record is from RefSeq and is a predicted model, not a curated record.